AUGAGGAUUAAAAUUUAAAGAUUUUGAAACACACCGUGUUUGGGAAUGAUUUACUUCAUUGGUGGAAGACAUAUUCAGACCAGGGCUCCACACUGGUGAUAAGGACAUGGGACUCCUUUUGUCAACUUCCAGCAGGCUCAGUAAAGUUGACCUCCUGAUCAGCAGCACUAAGGGCAAAUCUUGGUUUGGUUUAUUACCUCAUUGCCACAGAAACAAAACUGUCAAAGGCUGAAGGUUCCACGUUUUCAGUAGAAUGCAGAGUAAACUUGUCUAAUGAGGAUGUCUGAUACUAGUGUUAUAAAAGAAGAAGCUGAAGCAAUGAGGGCGAAAGAAAAGUCCCUUAAACAGUCAUCAUUAUCAGAAAGUCUGGUAAAAUCAGAAAGCCAUGAGCCAAAAGCAGGAGAAAAGAAUGAAAAUUGUAUGGAUAACAGAAUUGACUCUCAGUCAAAUACAAAGUUAAAGCUAGUAAGGAGCCUGGCUGUGUGUGAAGAGUCUUCUCCUCCGCCCACAGCUGAUGUUCCACAGGAUAAUCAGGUAAAAUGCA
This is a long non-coding RNA of Rhincodon typus (whale shark), 544 nucleotides long. RefSeq lists it as uncharacterized. The record is from RefSeq and is a predicted model, not a curated record. NCBI's taxonomy places the organism in Eukaryota, Metazoa, Chordata, Chondrichthyes, Orectolobiformes, Rhincodontidae. The transcript has 4 exons.